Molecule: non-coding RNA, 108 nt
Organism: Dunaliella salina
Lineage: Eukaryota; Viridiplantae; Chlorophyta; Chlorophyceae; Chlamydomonadales; Dunaliellaceae
Source: the annotation of a GenBank genome assembly
ACUGUCAUAGCUCAAUGGUAGAGUGCGCCUCCCAUUGUUGCCAGUGACUGAAGUAUCGCAGGCAAGUGGAAAAAUCACGAGACGUGGGUUCGAAUCUCACUGGCAUCU